Molecule: ribosomal RNA, 491 nt
Filed under: uncultured bacterium
Lineage: Bacteria
Description: bacterial SSU rRNA
Rfam family: Bacterial small subunit ribosomal RNA
Source: RNAcentral
AUUGAACGCUGGCGGCAUGCCUUACACAUGCAAGUCGAACGGUAACAGGUCUUCGGAUGCUGACGAGUGGCGAACGGGUGAGUAAUAUAUCGGAACGUGCCCAGUCGUGGGGGAUAACGCAGCGAAAGCUGUGCUAAUACCGCAUACGAUCUAUGGAUGAAAGCGGGGGAUCGCAAGACCUCGCGCGAUUGGAGCGGCCGAUAUCAGAUUAGGUAGUUGGUGGGGUAAAGGCCCACCAAGCCAACGAUCUGUAGCUGGUCUGAGAGGACGACCAGCCACACUGGAACUGAGACACGGGUCCAGACUCCUACGGGAGGCAGCAGUGGGGAAUUUUGGACAAUGGGCGCAAGCCUGAUCCAGCAAUGCCGCGUGCAGGAUGAAGGCCUUCGGGUUGUAAACUGCUUUGUUACGGAACGAAAAGGCUCUGGCUAAUACCUGGGGCUCGAUGACGGUACCGUAACGAAUAAGUACACCGGCGUAACCUACGUACG